This is a small nuclear RNA of Otolemur garnettii (small-eared galago), 138 nucleotides long. Its record names the gene U4. It matches the Rfam family "U4 spliceosomal RNA". Rfam says of the family: U4 small nuclear RNA (U4 snRNA) is a component of the major U2-dependent spliceosome. The structure of U4 snRNA from yeast and human has been reported. The record is from Ensembl. NCBI's taxonomy places the organism in Eukaryota, Metazoa, Chordata, Mammalia, Primates, Galagidae.
AGCUUUGUGCAGUGGCAGUAUCGUAGCCAAUGAGUUUAUCUGAGGCGCAAUUAUUGUUCAUUGAAAACUUCCCAACAGCCCAACAUGAUGACUUGGAAUAUAGGUGACAUUGGCAAUUUUUGACAGUCUCUACAGAGA